This is a non-coding RNA of Styela clava, 150 nucleotides long. The record is from RefSeq and is a predicted model, not a curated record. NCBI's taxonomy places the organism in Eukaryota, Metazoa, Chordata, Ascidiacea, Stolidobranchia, Styelidae.
UCCACCUUUACCACCUUUAAAGCAAAACAGCCUCCUCAGGCGUAGCCAGCGACUACUAAUGAAGCAGCUGAAGCCUGGCAGAAGCAAUGAACCUGGUGUCUCUGACAAACGAGUCAAGAGACGGAAAGCUCUGAACAUUGACGAUGCCAG